UUAAAUUGAAGAGUUUGAUCAUGGCUCAGAUUGAACGCUGGCGGCAGGCCUAACACAUGCAAGUCGAACGGUAACAGGAAGCAGCUUGCUGCUUUGCUGACGAGUGGCGGACGGGUGAGUAAUGUCUGGGAAACUGCCUGAUGGAGGGGGAUAACUACUGGAAACGGUGGCUAAUACCGCAUAACGUCGCAAGACCAAAGAGGGGGACCUUCGGGCCUCUUGCCAUCAGAUGUGCCCAGAUGGGAUUAGCUUGUUGGUGAGGUAACGGCUCACCAAGGCGACGAUCCCUAGCUGGUCUGAGAGGAUGACCAGCCACACUGGAACUGAGACACGGUCCAGACUCCUACGGGAGGCAGCAGUGGGGAAUAUUGCACAAUGGGCGCAAGCCUGAUGCAGCCAUGCCGCGUGUAUGAAGAAGGCCUUCGGGUUGUAAAGUACUUUCAGCGGGGAGGAAGGUGUUGUGGUUAAUAACCACAGCAAUUGACGUUACCCGCAGAAGAAGCACCGGCUAACUCCGUGCCAGCAGCCGCGGUAAUACGGAGGGUGCAAGCGUUAAUCGGAAUUACUGGGCGUAAAGCGCACGCAGGCGGUCUGUCAAGUCGGAUGUGAAAUCCCCGGGCUCAACCUGGGAACUGCAUUCGAAACUGGCAGGCUUGAGUCUUGUAGAGGGGGGUAGAAUUCCAGGUGUAGCGGUGAAAUGCGUAGAGAUCUGGAGGAAUACCGGUGGCGAAGGCGGCCCCCUGGACAAAGACUGACGCUCAGGUGCGAAAGCGUGGGGAGCAAACAGGAUUAGAUACCCUGGUAGUCCACGCCGUAAACGAUGUCUACUUGGAGGUUGUGCCCUUGAGGCGUGGCUUCCGGAGCUAACGCGUUAAGUAGACCGCCUGGGGAGUACGGCCGCAAGGUUAAAACUCAAAUGAAUUGACGGGGGCCCGCACAAGCGGUGGAGCAUGUGGUUUAAUUCGAUGCAACGCGAAGAACCUUACCUGGUCUUGACAUCCACAGAAGAAUCCAGAGAUGGAUUUGUGCCUUCGGGAACUGUGAGACAGGUGCUGCAUGGCUGUCGUCAGCUCGUGUUGUGAAAUGUUGGGUUAAGUCCCGCAACGAGCGCAACCCUUAUCCUUUGUUGCCAGCGGUUAGGCCGGGAACUCAAAGGAGACUGCCAGUGAUAAACUGGAGGAAGGUGGGGAUGACGUCAAGUCAUCAUGGCCCUUACGACCAGGGCUACACACGUGCUACAAUGGCGCAUACAAAGAGAAGCGACCUCGCGAGAGCAAGCGGACCUCAUAAAGUGCGUCGUAGUCCGGAUUGGAGUCUGCAACUCGACUCCAUGAAGUCGGAAUCGCUAGUAAUCGUGGAUCAGAAUGCCACGGUGAAUACGUUCCCGGGCCUUGUACACACCGCCCGUCACACCAUGGGAGUGGGUUGCAAAAGAAGUAGGUAGCUUAACCUUCGGGAGGGCGCUUACCACUUUGUGAUUCAUGACUGGGGUGAAGUCGUAACAAGGUAACCGUAGGGGAACCUGCGGUUGGAUCACCUCCUUACCUUAAAGAA
This 1554-nucleotide ribosomal RNA is filed under the name Salmonella enterica subsp. enterica serovar Dublin str. ATCC 39184. RNAcentral describes it as "bacterial SSU rRNA". It matches the Rfam family "Bacterial small subunit ribosomal RNA". The record is from RNAcentral. Lineage: Bacteria; Pseudomonadati; Pseudomonadota; Gammaproteobacteria; Enterobacterales; Enterobacteriaceae.